UACGUAGGGGGCAAGCGUUGUCCGGAAUCAUUGGGCGUAAGGCGCGUGUAGGCGGCCCGGUAAGUCCGUUCUGAAAGCCCGGGGCUCAACCCCGGGAGGCGGAUGGAUACUGCUUGGCUCGAGUCCGGAAGAGGCGAGUGGAAUUCCCGGUGUAGCGGUGAAAUGCGCAGAUAUCGGGAGGAACACCAAUGGCGAAGGCAGCUCGCUGGGACGGUACUGACGCUGAGACGCGAAAGCGUGGGGAGCAAACAGG
Molecule: ribosomal RNA, 253 nt
Filed under: uncultured bacterium
Lineage: Bacteria
Description: partial 16S ribosomal RNA
Rfam family: Bacterial small subunit ribosomal RNA
Source: RNAcentral